Long non-coding RNA from Papaver somniferum (opium poppy), 4518 nucleotides. RefSeq lists it as uncharacterized. The transcript has 6 exons. Lineage: Eukaryota; Viridiplantae; Streptophyta; Magnoliopsida; Ranunculales; Papaveraceae. The record is from RefSeq and is a predicted model, not a curated record.
CUUUCACAAAGUUGUUGCAAAACCCAGCCGGUAUUGGUGCAAAGAACAGUCAACAUUAGUUCACUUCAGUCGGUAUUGAAUGCAAUUUACAACCAAUGCCGACUAACACAGUCGGUAUUAUAUUCACCAAACAAAUCAAUACCGAAUGUUACAGUCGGUAUUGUCUUCAAACUCACACCAAUACCGACUGCUCAUCAGUUAACCUAAUGUUUGUUUUAAAACCUACAAAGUUCGAUCAAAGCACUAUGAAAACACUAUGAAAAUGGAUGUGAAUCACUCACGUUCCCACAAAAUCCAUUUGAUUGAGUUCUUGAUUGUCGAAAUUCUCUUCCUCUUCCUAAUUUUAACACUAUGAGGAGCAGUCGACAAUUAUGAAGGGAGAUACUUUUAAGCUUUAAUUUAGUCCCAUGAGAGUAUCCCCCAAUUGUGGAUUCUUUCUUUCUUUCUUUUUCAUUUAGUUUAUUUGUUUCUGCAAUUUUAUAAUGAUUUUUUGUAAAUUUUUGGGUAAUUAAAUUAGUUUUUUGUUGAUUGGUUAACAACCUGGGGAAAACGUCAUAUAAAUUGAGUUUCUAUGUUCUGAAUGAAUUUCUGCAGGUUCCUUCUCAUGAGUUGAUGAGCUUUGUUGUUUGUUCUUAGGGUAUGGAUGUUCUUAGGGUACUACUACAGAAGACUCCCAAAUUUUGGGUCUCUUCGCUCUUUCGCCUAAUAGUUUCAUUGUUAUUCUCUUCAUCAGUAUUUCUAGGCUUUUUCUUUGUUGGAACUGAUUGAGCAGUUUUGGUCCGUUAAAAUCUGUAGGUGAUGCAAUCAAGAAAGUGCGAGUUGGGGGUAUUCUGGAUUUAGCAAACAACAAUCCAAAGGUUUUGUCGAUGAUCAUAUCUUUUCCAGCUUCUCUUGACUUCGUCAGAAGCAGUACUAUCUGCUCUACCCUUUGAAUUACUUGUUGAAGUCCAGGUUCCAAGAGAAAGAACAAUGAAACACUAUCAGGACCACAGCUUGAUAGUGGGAAGUACCCAAGAGAGGAAGCUGGGGAGUACUUGGAAGUAAACUAAAAGUGGGUGCACUUGAGAAUAUGUAUAUUCUGUUGAAUGUAUUAAUUAUUGUAGUCCCUUAGUGUGUGAAAGAAACAUUAUCCGACACCAUGUUCCUUUUUUUUUUUUAGUCUAUGUGAUCUAAUCGUUUUCUUCUGCAUGAUACUUUCAGUUACAAUAUUUAGUGGAUAGUCUAAAUUCAUCAGAAAUAAUGUUGAGGUUCUCUCAAGAUGCCAAGGAAGAUGAAUCAUGUAUGUACUUGCUCACUUAACUUUUGCUUGAUGCUCAUACCCUGAAGGUUAUAGGCAAAAAACCAUUCCAUAAGCAUUUACUUCUUAUGCAACAUCUCCUAUAUUACUACGGCAGUCAACUGGCAGUUCGUGAAAGGGAACUUUCUAGGGAGAAAAGGAAGAUUCGGAAAGAAAAGCUCGAUGCUAAGAGGGCAUUACAACAUCGGUUGCUAUUUGAUGAAGCGAUAUCAUUGGAAUCAAGUCCCGACGACAACUCAGAUGAGGAUGAGAUGCCUCGGUUUACAGACGUGGAGGAUGAAUAUCAAUAGGAGGAUCGUGAGGAAUAUCAAACACAGACAGUGAAGGAGACAAUGACUUCAAGGAUAUAUGGUUAUGCAGUCCUAAGGAAGUGACUGAAGAGAGCACUUAAAAUUCAACCACUACCUUGCCAAAGAGUUUAGUGAGGGCAAGCCAUGUCCUUGAGUCAUUUCACUGCUGAAGGCGAUGUCGAGUUCAAGGCUGUGUGUGAGUUAGUCUUUUCAUUUUGUUCCUCCAAAAGCUAUCCCAGGAUCUGUACGCGAGUUAGUAGAAUGCUAACAAGUUCAACUUGAAGUUAUUUCAGGCAUGUUUUCAUCUCAGAUGAAUUUGAUUAUCCUUUUCACAAGUACCUAGACUUUUUGAUGGGCCUUGAGGGUAUGGCUGUGUAUGAGCUUCUUAAAUUGUUUGUGUGAUAAGUGAAUGAGUAGUCUAACCUGGGAAUUAAGAUUCAUAUAUGAACUUAAUGCUGUGGUGGUUAUAGGUAGUAAUUGUUUACAACUUCUUCAGAUCGGUAAUUUUAUUUUGUAUAUGUUAUUAAAAUUUAUAUAGUUCAUACUUCCAGUUUGGAGAACAGUACUUGCAGAUACCAUCCUUUUUUAAGCUCAGUCUACAUAUACCUAGCCCGUGCUGCUUUUCGGUAUUCAGUUGUUUGUUGAUCAGGGCUUUUAUGUUAAAUUUCAUUGGUAUAAUGGUUUCCUCUCCACUGUUUUUAUCCCUUCGUUAGUCAGUUAUUUGUUUAUUUCAUUUGAGAGCAGAUACAAGGGAAGAUUGCGCGUCAUGGACGGAAGGAAGCAUUACAUACGGUGAAACAUAACUAUCUACGUGGAUUUUUUUUAAUGCUCUUCUUUCUUCCUAUGAAGUUCUGAGUUUAGUAUUUUUGUCCUUGGUAGGCAUAUGCCAACCCUAUGAUUGAAGUUCUGAGACUGUAAAAUUUAUGAAGUAAAUUCUGAAACAAAUAAAUAUUCUGACAAUAUUUUUCCCUAAAAUUCUUGGAGUUUCAUUAUACGAACACAAUCCGGAAACCUUCUCCACCGUCCCUCUUUUAUAGGCUUAUACAUAUUUGAAGAACUCUAUGCACAGAUGUAGAACCUACUAUUUUUUUGAGGUAGGUGGCUCUCUAGGUGGUGCUGGACUGUCGAUUUGGUGGGCUACACUCCCCGAUGUUUUUGUUGAUUCUUUGAUUGCAUCUGCUUUCUACAUUUUUUUAGUGUGAUUUUUCGGUUUUGCUUGGCAGGUCCUUAUUUCACAUUAAUUGUUUUUGUGCUCUUACUUUGGUUGGCACGAGUAAAAUUUACAUCUCCUCUACUAUUUCCUUCCAUCCGUAGUGAGCUUCGAUGUACUUGCAUGUCAAUUGGUGUUAUAUCUGAACUUGCAAAAUUAAGAGAAAGCAAAAGUAAUUUCAUGUAUUAUGUACAGUAUCUAUAAAAUCUUACUACACGGUUUUCUCAGGUAUUUUUUUUUCUUAUGAUUUUUCUAGGUUUAUACAGAGCGGUUAAUAUAAUUUCUUGGUUUUGUUUUGCAGGAGCUUUGUUGUAUCAGUGUAUUAGUCAGUAUUAUAGUAUUAUGUUUGGGGUUGCGAAUUUUUCUUCCCUAUGGGUGGUCACAGGCUGGUUUCGGGUGAUGCCAGUUUCACGGUGGAUUAAUGUAAGCAGGGAAACUCAGUCAAGAUCACGCCCUAAUCCUAGACUUAUACAAAUCCAUGUCUUCUAGCCCAUCGCCAGUGGAUUGAUAAAGUAUGGAAUUACAAUCUGAUCAUAUGUUAUGGGCUUUAGGACAUGUGGGUGUGCAUAGAUCUGCCAUUUAUUCAUGAAAUUAUUGACAUCUAGGCACCACGGAUACAUUCAGAUCUUGCAAAUAAUUGGAAAAGAGAAUGGUUCCUCGGUUUACUCACCCGAGUGAACUGCUUGCCGUGAUACUCACCUAAGAGUUGGUGUAAGUUAACGCCGAAAUUGGAUCACUGAACGGGAACCAAGAACUUUUGCCGUGGAUUAUUCGGAUCUCUGUAUGUUGUGUUCUCAUGGCAAUGGCUUUUUUGUGUAUUGUUUGUUUUGGCAUAAUUCCAGAGUAUAUGGAUUAUUUAUGUGAUUAGUUCAUUUGUCUAGGGUUUUGUUUAUUUGUUUGUGUGGCAGAGGAGACAACCUAUCUUCCGUAUUAAUUGGUAUUGCGUCUGCAUUCGCCAAACUUGAGAAGGGAAGGGCCUGACGGGAAAAUCCAGCAAGGGAAGACAGUCACUCACUAAAUCCAGUCAAGAUCACGAGUGUGUUUCCAAGAGUUGGUGGUGGAACUUGCUAUGUACUAAUGGUGGUACGAAACAAAUAUAGCCCAGCUAUGCGUGAUUGUCUGCAUCCAGGUGCAUAGUGAUGUUAAUGGUAUUAGCUGAAUUUGUUUUGGAUGGCCAUUCGAAUGUAACAAAUUUUGCCAAGCUCCGUGUACUGCUCAAAGUCGUUACUGCGGUGAGAUUCACUGAAUCAACCAAGGAACUAUUUAUCCUGGAAACUACAGCGUGGUGUGAUCGCCAGAUGAGACAGGAUACUGUUAAUAUUUCUCUGAACUGAAGGUCUGUUAAUCCAGAUCAGGCUAGACUUUCACGGAACGGUUGAUUUAAAUUCACCCGGGUUUAAAUCAGACAGUUUCUUAAUUUGUUGGUUUUGUCUUGCAACAAUGCUGAUUUUACGUCGAUAGAUUUACCCAUCUUUUGGUAGGCUAGGAGAAGAAGUUAUGUAUAAGUUGCUGAUCAGUUUUUUGUUCAGAGAGAUUUACCCAAAUGCCAUAUAUUUGUUAUACGUUUCCCAACUAUGAGAUCAAUAUCAAUUGUGCUUUUUGUUCUACGUUCUACAUUUGGAAGAAAACAACUGGACAAUCAGAGGAGAGAGGAGUAUGGUUCUUUCUUUGCUUGGCUUCUGUGCGAUUAACUAUGCUAUUCCUGUCCUGGCCAUCAACGA